UGAGGAAUAUUGGUCAAUGGGCGAAAGCCUGAACCAGCCAUGUCGCGUGCAGGAUAACGGCCUACGGGUUGUAAACUGCUUUUUCACGGGAAGCGGUACCGUGCGAAUAAGGAUCGGCUAACUCCGUGCCAGCAGCCGCGGUAAUACGGAGGAUCCGAGCGUUAUCCGGAUUUAUUGGGUUUAAAGGGUGCGUAGGCGGGACAUUAAGUCAGUGGUGAAAUUCUGGGGCUCAACUUCAGGACUGCCAUUGAUACUGAUGUUCUUGAGUACAGUAGAGGUAGGCGGAACGUGGUAUGUAGCGGUGAAAUGCGUAGAUAUGCCACUGAACACCGAUUGCGAAGGCAGCUUACUAUAGUGUCACUGACGCUGAUGCACGAAAGCGUGGGUAUCAAACAGGAUUAGAUACCCGUGUAGU
RNAcentral lists this ribosomal RNA (415 nucleotides) under uncultured bacterium. Its description in RNAcentral is "bacterial SSU rRNA". It matches the Rfam family "Bacterial small subunit ribosomal RNA", at positions 355 to 794 of the family's 1533-position model. The record is from RNAcentral.